Molecule: long non-coding RNA, 291 nt
Organism: Clupea harengus (Atlantic herring)
Lineage: Eukaryota; Metazoa; Chordata; Actinopteri; Clupeiformes; Clupeidae
Exons: 3
Source: RefSeq, a predicted model, not a curated record
CUGAUCAACAACGACAACAAAACUUCCCCCAGAGUACAACCUCCCUCACACCUAUGUGGAGAUGCAGUCUCUUCAGAUCGCUGCCUUCCUCUUCACUGUGUGCCACGUGGUCAUCGUCCUUCAAGACUGGUUCACUGACAUCAACCUUUACAGGUUCCUGCAGACAGCUGAGAUGCUGAAGCCCUCCACACCCUCUGCCAGCCAUGACAGCACUGGAUCCUCAGGAAACGACGAGGGCUCUGAGUAUUACCCUCAUAUAGGUUAGCUGGGAAAUGAGCACACACUCCCACG